GAUGCUAAUCUUCUAAUUAAAAAAAUAGAUGUUAAUUUAUUGCUUAUUUUUCUAUAUCCACUUAUCUAUAUACGUUGAAAUAUUUAAAACUACAUCUAUCCAUCUGUGAACACCUGUGAUUGUAUCGCUCUAAAUAUGACCCUUUUACCAGGUAGAUAAGCAGAUGGGUCAGCCACAUCCAGCUGGUCACCCCGUUCCUGACAGAUGGCUUUCUAAUCUAUAUGUCCCUGUCCAUUCCUUCUAGUCUCUCUAUAAAAAUGUUUUUACUUAUCAUGAUAGCAUAUGCCAGUAAAUUUCACUCUGCCUGGCAUAUAGUCAGCAUGUAAAUAUUUAAUGACUAAAUUUGCUAAAACUCCUAGAACUCAGGUUGUUCAGUGUCAUCGUCUAUCAUCUGUUUUGGCACUCUAACAUUAUAUUUAAAAACCAGGUGAAAGGGUACUACUAAAAUAGGACCACCUCAAUUCCUGUAAGGAGUGUCUAUUUGAUUCAGAUAGAAAAUUUUUCAUAUGACUUACCUAAUAAUUUUGGCUGCCAUUUUUACUGGAAACUUUAACUACUCCUCUACCCCAAGUAUUGCAAAAGCAGAAGAGUUUAAUUAAAAUUAUCAUCUUUAUAGAAUUUGCCUCUAAUUAUAUUCACUUUUAUCCCCUUACCAAAAAA
Long non-coding RNA from Herpailurus yagouaroundi (jaguarundi), 660 nucleotides. RefSeq lists it as uncharacterized. The record is from RefSeq and is a predicted model, not a curated record. Lineage: Eukaryota; Metazoa; Chordata; Mammalia; Carnivora; Felidae. The transcript is spliced from 2 exons.